AUGUGGUUUUGGGGUUCCCAGGGUAAAUUGGGGGAUCCCCAGGGACAUUUAGGGGGUACCUGGGGGUCGUUUUGGGGAUGCCAAGAGAGGUUUGGGGAUGCCAAAGGUGGUUUGGGGGGUCCCAGGGGUAUUUCGGGGGUCUCAGGGGUAUUUUGGAGGGUGCCAGGAGUAAUUUCGGGGUACCUGGGGGUGGUUUUGGGGGAUCCCAGGGGCAGUUUGGGGGGUCCUGGUGUGGUUUUGGGGUUCCCAGAAGGAUUUAGGGUUCCCAGAAGGAUUUGGGGGUUUAUUUUGGGGUUCCCGGGUGUGUUUUGGGGGGUCCCUGGGGUGGUUUUGGGGGUCCCUGGUGUGGUUUUGGGGUUCCCAGAAGGAUUUAGGGUUCCCAGAAGGAUUUGGGGGUUCUGGAGGAGUUUAUUUUGGGGUUCCUGGGUGUGUUUUGGGGGGUGCCUGGCGUGGUUUUGGGGUUCCCAGGAGGGUUUUGGGGUUCCCAGAAGGAUUUGGGGGUUCUGGAGGGGUUCAUUUUGGGGUUCCCGGCUGUGUUUUGGGGGGUCCCUGGCGUGGUUUUGGGGCUCCCCGAAGGAUUUGGGGGUUCUGGAGGGGUUUAUUUUGGGGUUCCCAGAUGUGUUUUGGGGGGGUCCCUGGGGUGGUUUUGGGGUUCCCAGGAGGGUUUUGGGGUUCCCAGAAGGAUUUGGGGUUCCCAGGAGGGUUUUGGGGUUCUGGGGGGGUUCAUUUUGGGGUUCCCAGAUGUGUUUUGGGGGGGUCCCUGGGGUGGUUUUGGGGUUCCCAGGAGGGUUUUGGGGUUCCCAGAAGGAUUUGGGGUUCCCAGAAAGAUUUGGGGGUUCUGGGGGGGUUCAUUUUGGGGGUCCCUGGGAUGGUUUUGGGGUUCCCAGAAGGAUUUGGGGUUCCCAGAAGGAUCUGGGGGUUCUGGGGGGGGGGGGGUUUUUUGGGGGUCACUCACCUGGGAUCGGGGCGCGGGGCCCCCCCAGCUGCCCCGGCCAGGGCUGCCCCGGGGGGGGGUGCAGGAGGGGCAGCUGCCCCCCCCCCCGCCCCCAAGGCCUGGUGGGGAGGGGGCAGCAGGGGCUGGGCCGGGGGGGGCCCCGGCGGGGGCUGCAGGUGGUGCAGGGGCUGCGCCGGGGGCGGGACCCCCCCUUGGGGCUGGGGGACACCGGAGAGAGUCAGGGGGGCACCCCAAAAAUGACCCCUCCCUUCCCAGGACACCCCCCCCCCCCAGCCCCAAAACCCUUCAGUUCCUUCCUCUCUCCCCCCCCCCAAUUUUUAGAGCCCCCCCAAACCUUCCCAAGAACCCCCCUCCCCUCAAAAAUUCCCCUCCCAAAUCGCCCCAAGAACCCCCCUGAAAAGUCCCCCCGAAAAUUUUAA
Molecule: long non-coding RNA, 1374 nt
Filed under: Corvus moneduloides (New Caledonian crow)
Lineage: Eukaryota; Metazoa; Chordata; Aves; Passeriformes; Corvidae
Description: lncRNA (ENSCMUG00000017429.1)
Source: RNAcentral